UACGAAGGUGGCGAAUGUUGCUCGGAUUCACUGGGCGUAAAGCGUCUGUAGGUGGCUUGUUAAGUUAGAGGUGAAAGCCCGGGGCUCAACUCCGGAAUUGCCUUUAAGACUGCAUCGCUAGAAUUGUGGAGAGGUAAGUGGAAUUCCGAGUGUAGAGGUGAAAUUCGUAGAUAUUCGGAAGAACACCAGUGGCGAAGGCGACUUACUGGACACAUAUUGACGCUGAGGUGCGAAAGCGUGGGGAGCAAACAGG
This 253-nucleotide ribosomal RNA is filed under the name uncultured bacterium. RNAcentral's name for it is "partial 16S ribosomal RNA". It matches the Rfam family "Bacterial small subunit ribosomal RNA", at positions 524 to 776 of the family's 1533-position model. The record is from RNAcentral.